GCCCCCGUAGCUCAGUGGAUAGAGCGACGGAUUCCUAAUCCGCAGGUCGCAAGUUCGAUCCUUGCCGGGGGCACCA
This 76-nucleotide transfer RNA is filed under the name Desulfomonile tiedjei DSM 6799. RNAcentral describes it as "tRNA-Arg (CCT) (tRNA-Arg-CCT-1-1)". It matches the Rfam family "tRNA". Rfam says of the family: Transfer RNA (tRNA) molecules are approximately 80 nucleotides in length. Their secondary structure includes four short double-helical elements and three loops (D, anti-codon, and T loops). The record is from RNAcentral. Lineage: Bacteria; Pseudomonadati; Thermodesulfobacteriota; Desulfomonilia; Desulfomonilales; Desulfomonilaceae.